GCCGGCCUAGCUCAAUUGGUAGAGCAACUGACUUGUAAUCAGUAGGUUGGGGGUCCAAGUCCUCUGGCCGGCACCA
RNAcentral lists this transfer RNA (76 nucleotides) under Staphylococcus aureus. Its description in RNAcentral is "tRNA-Thr". It matches the Rfam family "tRNA". From Rfam's summary of the family: Transfer RNA (tRNA) molecules are approximately 80 nucleotides in length. The record is from RNAcentral. Lineage: Bacteria; Bacillati; Bacillota; Bacilli; Caryophanales; Staphylococcaceae.